CGUAAUAGCUCACUAGUCGAGUGACACUGCGCCGAAGAUGUACCGGGGCUAAGCACAAUACCGAAAUCGCGGAUUCAUACGUAAGUAUGAGUGGUAGGGGAGCGUUCCAAGGGCGUCGAAGGUUGACCGUGAGGACAGCUGGAGCGCUUGGAAGUGAGAAUGCCGGUGUGAGUAGCGCAAGAUGGGUGAGAAUCCCAUCCACCGAUUGACUAAGGGUUCCUGGGGCAGGUUCGUCCUCCCAGGGUUAGUCGGGUCCUAAGACGAGGCCGAAAGGCGUAGCCGAUGGACAACAGGUUGAUAUUCCUGUACUAUCUAUAUGACUGAUGGAGUGACGGAGAAGGCUAGGGAGAGCCAGUUAAUGGAUUCUGGUCUAAGCACAAAGGUUUAUAAUUAGGGAAAUCCGGUUAUAGAUAAGCUGAAGUGUGAUGGUGAAGCUACUAAGUAGCGAAAUCUCUUGACGCCAAGCUUCCAAGAAAAGCUUCUAGGGCUAAUCAUAUAGGUACCCGUACCCAGAACCGACACAGGUGGUCAAGGAGAGUAUCCUAAGGUGAGCGAGAGAACCAUGGUUAAGGAACUCGGCAAAAUAACCCCGUAACUUCGGAAUAAGGGGUGGUCGCUAGACGACCGACACUAAAGACGCCCAGGCAACUGUUUACCAAAAACAUAGGUCUCUGCUAAGUCGAAAGACGAUGUAUAGGGGCUGACACCUGCCCAGUGCUGGAAGGUUAAGAGGAGUGCUUAGAAUAGACGUAAGUCGAUGAUUCGAAGGUACGAAUUGAAGCCCCAGUGAACGGCGGCCGUAACUAUAACGGUCCUAAGGUAGCGAAAUUCCUUGUCAGGUAAGUUCUGACCCGCACGAAAGGUGUAAUGAUCUGGGCACUGUCUCAACCAUGGACUCGGUGAAAUCUUAAUACCUGUGAAAAUGCAGGUUACCCGCAUCAGGACGGGAAGACCCCAUGGAGCUUUACUGUAGCUUGAUAUUGAGAUUCGGUAUGUUAUGUAGAGAAUAGGUGGGAGACUAUGAGACUAGGACGCCAGUUCUAGAGGAGUCACCUUUGGAAUACCACCCUUAAUGUAUUGGAUUUCUAACCUCGACCCAUGAUCUGGGCCAGGGACAGUGUCUGGUGGGCAGUUUGACUGGGGCGGUCGCCUCCCAAAAAGUAACGGAGGCGCCCAAAGGUUCCCUCAGAAUGGAUGGAAAUCAUUCGCAGAGCGUAAAGGUAUAAGGGAGCUUAACUGCAAGACCAACAAGUCGAGCAGAUACGAAAGUAGGGCUUAGUGAUCAGACGGUGCAGAAUGGAAUGGCCGUCGCUUAACGGAUAAAAGUUACCCUGGGGAUAACAGGCUGAUACCACCCAAUAGUUCACAUAGACGGUGGUGUUUGGCACCUCGAUGUCGGCUCGUCACAUCCUGGAGGUGAAGUCGCUUCCAAGGGUUGGGCUGUUCGCCCAUUAAAGUGGCACGCGAGCUGGGUUCAGAACG
Molecule: ribosomal RNA, 1482 nt
Filed under: human gut metagenome
Description: bacterial LSU rRNA
Rfam family: Bacterial large subunit ribosomal RNA
Source: RNAcentral